Molecule: ribosomal RNA, 468 nt
Filed under: uncultured bacterium
Lineage: Bacteria
Description: partial 16S ribosomal RNA
Rfam family: Bacterial small subunit ribosomal RNA
Source: RNAcentral
GACGAACGCUGGCGGCGUGCUUAACACAUGCAAGUCGAACGGAAAGGCCCUGCUGUUGUGGGGUGCUCGAGUGGCGAACGGGUGAGUAACACGUGAGUAACCUGCCCUUGACUUUGGGAUAACUUCAGGAAACUGGGGCUAAUACCGGAUAGGAGCUCCUGCUGCAUGGUGGGGGUUGGAAAGUUUCGGCGGUUGGGGAUGGACUCGCGGCUUAUCAGCUUGUUGGUGGGGUAGUGGCUUACCAAGGCUUUGACGGGUAGCCGGCCUGAGAGGGUGACCGGCCACAUUGGGACUGAGAUACGGCCCAGAGUCCUACGGGAGGCAGCAGUGGGGAAUAUUGCACAAUGGGCGGAAGCCUGAUGCAGCAACGCCGCGUGCGGGAUGACGGCCUUCGGGUUGUAAACCGCUUUCGCCUGUGACGAAGCGUGAGUGACGGUAAUGGGUAAAGAAGCACCGGCUAACUACGUG